This 281-nucleotide unclassified non-coding RNA is filed under the name Mortierella sp. RNAcentral describes it as "partial internal transcribed spacer region". The stretch from base 1 to 46 matches the Rfam family "Eukaryotic small subunit ribosomal RNA", at positions 1786 to 1831 of the family's 1831-position model. Lineage: Eukaryota; Fungi; Mortierellomycota; Mortierellomycetes; Mortierellales; Mortierellaceae. The record is from RNAcentral.
AAGUCGUAACAAGGUUUCCGUAGGUGAACCUGCGGAAGGAUCAUUCACAAUAAGAGUGUUCUAUGGCACUCUUCUCAAAAAAAUCCAUACCCACCUUGUGUGCAAUGUAAAAGGAAAAAGUGUGAGUUAACUUGGGGAAGGGAAUCUUCCCAGACCCCGGCGACACUUGCAUCUUUUUCUUUUCCAACUUUAUAUACACCUUUCUAUAUCCUAUUGUCUGAUGAUGUUACAGAAUGACUAAUUCUUAAACAUAACUUUCAACAACGGAUCUCUUGGCUCUC